AAUGCAAGAAGCCAGGUGUUUUUUAAAUAGGAAAGGUUGGUUGGAUUCUAGUAGAAGCUCAAACCCAGGUAACAGAAUACCCAGAUCCAGUCCCGGCGAGCCAGGUGAAGACCACACUGGGACCCCGGGAUGGGACCAGCAUUUCUGGAAGUCACAUAGUGCCUGGCCCGUCACCUGGGGCCGAAGGGAUGGGGCAGCUUUGUUUUACAAGCAAUUGCAUUGAUAUAGGGAAAAUGGAAGCCAAAUGACCCUAUAAUUUGGUAAGAGGCUUCACAGAAAGGGCUGGGCUUUGUUGGGCCUCGUUGGGGGGAAGGAGAGGGUGUCGGUGUUCUCAGGCCUGGACCCGAGGAAAGGCACACGGGGUGGGGGGCAUGGACGGUGCCCUCCCGGCCGCCCCAGGCCUGUGGGUGCCUUUCGAGGGAGAGUUCAGGGCAGACAGUGGGAGCGUCCAGACACGGACAGGACCCAGGCGUUCGUUACGGGAGCCUCAGCGUGAGUCAGCCCCAGCAGCCUGGUCCGCCCUGACUGUCCUGAUCCUUGAGAACCGAACCGGGGACGGCUACUGAGGGGGACUUCAUCGUCUUCGUCAUCAAGCUCUCCGUGCCUGUCGCCAGCAAGCCUGGGAAGCUCAGACCCGCUCCGGGACCCAGGACCCGGGACCUGAGCCUGGCGGGAGGCUGCCUCCAAGCCCACCUGACUGCCCUCCUGCCUGGAUCGGGGCUGCAGGAGGGCAUGCAGGCCCGGCACAGGGAAGGAACAAACGCACAGUGGCAGGCGGGGGGGUAGGAGGAAGAAAAUACUGGAAGGGUAAAUCAGAUCUAAUAAAACUCGGUUCUCAGGUGUGGAGGGGACUCUACAGAAGGGGCGGAGAACUGGGAAGAGGAAUGUAUACCUAAUAUAACCUCAGUCACCACUGGGGAGGCUGCAGGAGUGUCUCCCCCAGAAAGGGGAUGUGUAU
Molecule: long non-coding RNA, 958 nt
Organism: Hyaena hyaena (striped hyena)
Lineage: Eukaryota; Metazoa; Chordata; Mammalia; Carnivora; Hyaenidae
Exons: 3
Source: RefSeq, a predicted model, not a curated record